This 85-nucleotide transfer RNA is filed under the name marine eukaryotic metagenome. It matches the Rfam family "tRNA". Rfam says of the family: Transfer RNA (tRNA) molecules are approximately 80 nucleotides in length. Their secondary structure includes four short double-helical elements and three loops (D, anti-codon, and T loops). The record is from RNAcentral.
GAGAGGUGGCUGAGUGGUUUAAGGCACACGCCUGGAAAGCGUGCGUACCCUAACAGGUAUCGAGGGUUCGAAUCCCUCCCUCUCC